GACGAACGCUGGCGGCGUGCUUAACACAUGCAAGUCGAACGGAAAGGCCCUGCUUUUGUGGGGUUCUCGAGUGGCGAACGGGUGAGUAACACGUGAGUAACCUGCCCUUGACUUUGGGAUAACUUGAGGAAACUGGUGCUAAUACCGGAUAGGAGCUCCUGCUGCAUGGUGGGGGUUGGAAAGUUUCGGCGGUUGGGGAUGGACUCGCGGCUUAUCAGCUUGUUGGUGGGGGAGUGGCUUACCAAGGCUUUGACGGAUAGCCGGCAUGAGAGGGUGAACGGCCACAUUGGGCCUGAGGUACGGACCAGAGUGCAACGGGAGGCAGCGGUGGGGAAUAUUGCACAAUGGGCGGAAGCGUGAUGCAGCGACGCCGCGUGCGGGAUGACGGCCUUCGGGUUGUAAACCGCUUUAGCCUGUGACGAAGCGUAAGUGACGUUACUGGGUAAAGAAGCACCGGCUAACUACGUG
RNAcentral lists this ribosomal RNA (468 nucleotides) under uncultured bacterium. RNAcentral's name for it is "partial 16S ribosomal RNA". It matches the Rfam family "Bacterial small subunit ribosomal RNA", at positions 28 to 507 of the family's 1533-position model. The record is from RNAcentral.